GCCCUCGUGGAUCACAGUUGAUCGUCUUCAUCCUAUAACGUGUUAGGGUUGGUUUAUGAAGAUGUUGUAGGUUCGAAUCCUACCGAGGGCA
Non-coding RNA from Mycena leptocephala, 91 nucleotides. The record is from the annotation of a GenBank genome assembly. Lineage: Eukaryota; Fungi; Basidiomycota; Agaricomycetes; Agaricales; Mycenaceae.